AAGUCAUAACAAGGUUUCCGUAGGUGAACCUGCGGAAGGAUCAUUACCGAGUUCAUGCCCUUCGGGGUAGAUCUCCCACCCUUUGUUUACUAUACUAUGUUGCUUUGGCGGACCGCCUGAUCGCCCCUCGGGGUCUUCAGCUACCGGCUUCGGCUGGUACGUGUCCGCCAGAGGACCCAAAACCCUGAAUAUUAGUGUCGUCUGAGUAAAAAGUUUAAUAUUUAAAACUUUCAACAACGGAUCUCUUGGCUCUG
This is an unclassified non-coding RNA of 254 nucleotides. The stretch from base 1 to 46 matches the Rfam family "Eukaryotic small subunit ribosomal RNA", at positions 1786 to 1831 of the family's 1831-position model.